UUGAAAGGGAAACGAUUGAAGCCAGUCGUACCUUCGGGUAAUCAGCCUUUCGGGUGCGAUUCUGUGGAGUGUGAGGAGCUUAACACCUUCAUGCUUUGCAUAUUUGUGCUCUUGGGUGUACUUGCCCGUGUGGUUGGUUAACAUCAAUUUUAAUUAUCAUAAAAUGACUGGAGGAAUGUAGCUUCGAUCUCGUAUUGAAGUGUUAUAGCCUUCGGUAGAUGUGAUGAUCGAGAUUGAGGAUUGCAACGGAUACCCUUCGGGGCUACCUGUCUGGUCUCUGAUCGUUGCUUAGGUGCCGAAAGCAUGCUUACGGUCAUUUAAGUUGACGGUCAAAAGGUUAGAACGUGAUUACAUUCGUUAAGGAUGUUGACGUA
Molecule: ribosomal RNA, 374 nt
Filed under: uncultured Glomeromycotina
Lineage: Eukaryota; Fungi; Glomeromycota
Description: eukaryotic LSU rRNA
Source: RNAcentral